This 1188-nucleotide long non-coding RNA is filed under the name Physcomitrium patens. Its description in RNAcentral is "long non-coding RNA (PPAT_LNC000565)". The record is from RNAcentral. Lineage: Eukaryota; Viridiplantae; Streptophyta; Bryopsida; Funariales; Funariaceae.
CGGCAUUUUCUAGCAAGAGCACCAAAAGUGAUGAGCGGAGACAGGUCACAAUAUGGUGUGGUUUCAGUUCCCACGGCGCCAGGUUCUAAAUCUCGUUCAGAGCGCCGAACUUGUUUGUGGGUAGCGAUGAACCCAACUAUGCAGCGGCGAUGCAAAGCUGCUUCGGAUCCUGCACAAUUGAGAUCCAUACCCUGCUCUCACAACCCACACAGACAUCAUCGAGUCUUAGUCCUCAGUCCUGGUCCCUUUAACACACCAACCACCGAUUGCUCAUGACUGCUCUGAUUGUACACAAAAACCGAUCUUCGCAUCCGCAGUGGUUGCGUUCCCGGUCACGUUUCUUGUGCUUGACUGCUACGUUCCUCCGAAACGGUAGUCACAUGCAAACCCGAGCUUGUGGGUGCGGGCGACUGAGAGCACUACACGUAGUUAGUUUCAUAAUAGACGAUGACACACUUGACUUCGAGUUUACGACACAUGACCAAAAUGAUAGAUCAUGGACAAAUGUUUAGGAAAACAUCAAGUUAAAUUUAAGAUAACGUUGUGAAAAUAUAAAUAUAUAACUAAGAAAGUGGAUAACUCUUGGAUAACUUAAAAACUAGUGAAUGAUAAAAAUAAAAAUAGCGGCGUUUUGAGAGAAGCUAGCACCUUCAGCUUGCGUAUUUAACUUGAUCAUUAAGUUUUCUGUUGCAUCUGUUAUCAGUUGCUGAUUUAAGUAGCAGGAUCGUCGAAAACUUUGAUGCUCUGAAUCUGAAGGCAGCUAUAUGACGCGUGCAGCUGUUUUGAUUCUUGAGCGAUUUUGUUUGAGUGGGUUGUCAGAAGAUGGAUGUAGGAUCAUGUUGGAAUCGCCUUGCUAAAGCCGAUUUCGUGGUCAAGGUAGCUUCAUUUCUGGAGCUCAUGUAUGAUAGUUGCAUGCUUUGGGGAACGUACUUGUGUGCAGGGCCAUGGGAUUUGAGAGUGUACACUUGGAGGCGAGCAGGAGGGAGUCGUAAGCGACGAGCUAGAAUUGGUAGAAGAAAGCCAAUAGGAUUGUCGAAAGAUAGAACUAGGAGGAGAGCAAGAGCAGUCCAUAAAAUGGAUUCUAUCCCAGAGAACUGCAUGCCAGAGUUGUGUGCACUGUUAGAAGAGCUUUGGUUCACCUAGAAUAUGAUCGAAGCGGAUAAGUAAGCAUGACUAUUUAUGUCCGUU